AACCAAAAAAGUUUCGACCACGGCAGGAUUCGAACCUACAAUCUUCUGCUCCGUAGGCAGACGCGUUAUCCAUUGCGCCACGCGGCCACACA
RNAcentral lists this transfer RNA (92 nucleotides) under Caenorhabditis elegans. Its description in RNAcentral is "Unclassified non-coding RNA C03A3.8". Lineage: Eukaryota; Metazoa; Nematoda; Chromadorea; Rhabditida; Rhabditidae. The record is from RNAcentral.